RNAcentral lists this ribosomal RNA (253 nucleotides) under uncultured bacterium. RNAcentral describes it as "partial 16S ribosomal RNA". It matches the Rfam family "Bacterial small subunit ribosomal RNA", at positions 524 to 776 of the family's 1533-position model. The record is from RNAcentral.
UACGGGGGGGGCAAGCGUUGUUCGGAAUUACUGGGCGUAAAGGGUUCGUAGGUGGCCAACUAAGUCAAACGUGAAAUCCCUCAGCUUAACUGGGGAACUGCGUCUGAUACUGGUUGGCUUGAGUGCAGGAGAGGAACGCGGAAUUCCAGGUGUAGCGGUGAAAUGCGUAGAUAUCUGGAGGAACACCGGUGGCGAAGGCGGCUUUCUGGACAGAUACCGACGCUGAGGCACGAAAGCUAGGGGAGCAAACAGG